Molecule: ribosomal RNA, 233 nt
Filed under: uncultured bacterium
Lineage: Bacteria
Description: partial 16S ribosomal RNA
Rfam family: Bacterial small subunit ribosomal RNA
Source: RNAcentral
UGAGGAACAUGACCUUCGGCGGGGGAUAGCCGGCCCAACGGCCGGGUAAUACCGCUUACGACCACAUGGGGACAUCCCCGAGUGGUGAAAGCAGCAAUGCGCCGAUGGAGUGCCUCGCGGCCUAUCAGCUAGUUGGUGAGGUAACGGCUCACCAAGGCGACGACGGGUAGCUGGUCUGAGAGGAUGGCCAGCCACAUUGGGACUGAGACAUGGCCCAGACCUNUACCGGGAGG